Aegilops tauschii subsp. strangulata is the source of this 713-nucleotide long non-coding RNA. RefSeq lists it as uncharacterized. Lineage: Eukaryota; Viridiplantae; Streptophyta; Magnoliopsida; Poales; Poaceae. The record is from RefSeq and is a predicted model, not a curated record.
CCCACCCCGGCUCCUCUCCCCGCCGCCUCCACCACCCACCAUUUCGCAGUGGUUGGCCUCCCGACCCCUCCCUAUCUUCUCCCGCCAAUCCCACCAUUCCCCUCGCCGCCGCCGCCGCCGUCGUCGGCUGCCCAAGCGUCAUGAUGUUGUCAACGGUGUGGCUGAGGCAGAAGGUGUAACCAAAUAUGAUGCAGGUGAAGCUUCUCAAGAUCAGAAAGAGCAAAAAGGUUCAACAACCAUGAAAUCCUAGCUGAGGAUGUGCGAGACUGGGAUAUAGCCAGUGACCGGGGACAAGGGCAGCGUGCGCAGGGUGAUCGACGAGGACUACUGCAGCCCGAUGGGAGUCGUGCUCUUCAACUACUCGGAGGCAGACUUCACCGUGAAGCCCCGCGACCGCGUCAUACAGAUUAUCGUCCAGGUGAUUGCGACGCAGGAGGUCCCCGGGGUGGAGGACCUCGACGCCACCGUCCGGAGGUCACCGAGGUGGAGGACGACGCCACCGUCCGGAGUUCCUCAAGGUGGAGGACCUCGACGCUUUGUACAUACAUCUAGAGAAGUGGUCUGGUUAGGUUGGUGGUGAAACGCUAGGGAAGGUACCAACCUUUUGAUGAUGGUUGUGUGUGUCCUCGUGAUCUCUUCGAGUUGAGAUGUUGAAUGUUGCAUCCAUGAACACUGCAAGUGUUAAGAUGGUUCUGUGAAAUUUAUUUUGCAUC